AAGCGAGUGCAGAAAAUAAAUAAGAUAAAGCGAGUGCGGAAAAUAAAUAAAAGUAAAGCGAGUGCGGAAAAUAAAUAAAAUAAAAGCGAUGCGGGAAAUAAAUAAAAUAAAAGCGAUGCAGGAAAUAAAUAAAUAAAGCGAUAAAUAAGAACCUGCUCCAAAUGGAGGGCUUUAAAUCUGGUACAAAAAUAAACCUCUGAUUCCUG
Molecule: long non-coding RNA, 206 nt
Filed under: Lathyrus oleraceus (garden pea)
Lineage: Eukaryota; Viridiplantae; Streptophyta; Magnoliopsida; Fabales; Fabaceae
Description: Pisum sativum (pea) long non-coding RNA (PSAT_LNC025624)
Source: RNAcentral